This 497-nucleotide ribosomal RNA is filed under the name uncultured bacterium. Its description in RNAcentral is "partial 16S ribosomal RNA". It matches the Rfam family "Bacterial small subunit ribosomal RNA", at positions 28 to 507 of the family's 1533-position model. The record is from RNAcentral.
GAUGAACGCUGGCGGCGUGCCUAAUACAUGCAAGUCGAGCGGACGGACGAGAAGCUUGCUUCUCUGAUGUUAGCGGCGGACGGGUGAGUAACACGUGGAUAACCUACCUAUAAGACUGGGAUAACUUCGGGAAACCGGAGCUAAUACCGGAUAAUAUUUUGAACCGCAUGGUUCAAAAGUGAAAGACGGUCUUGCUGGCACUUAUAGAUGGAUCCGCGCUGCAUUAGCUAGUUGGUAAGGUAACGGCUUACCAAGGCAACGAUGCAUAGCCGAACUGAGAGGGUGAUCGGCCACACGGGAACUGAGACACGGUCCAGACUCCUACGGGAGGCAGCAGUAGGGAAUCUGCCGCAAUGGGCGAAAGCCUGACGGAGCAACGCCGCGUGAGUGAUGAAGGUCUUCGGAUCGUAAAACUCUGUUAUUAGGGAAGAACAUAUGUGUAAGUAACUGUGCACAUCUUGACGGUACCUAAUCAGAAAGCCACGGCUAACUACGUG